RNAcentral lists this ribosomal RNA (301 nucleotides) under uncultured bacterium. Its description in RNAcentral is "partial 16S ribosomal RNA". It matches the Rfam family "Bacterial small subunit ribosomal RNA", at positions 509 to 807 of the family's 1533-position model. The record is from RNAcentral.
CAGUAGCCACGGUAAUACGUAGGUGGCAAGCGUUAUCCGGAAUUAUUGGGCGUAAAGCGCGCGUAGGCGGUUUUUUAAGUCUGAUGUGAAAGCCCACGGCUCAACCGUGGAGGGUCAUUGGAAACUGGAAAACUUGAGUGCAGAAGAGGAAAGUGGAAUUCCAUGUGUAGCGGUGAAAUGCGCAGAGAUAUGGAGGAACACCAGUGGCGAAGGCGACUUUCUGGUCUGUAACUGACGCUGAUGUGCGAAAGCGUGGGGAUCAAACAGGAUUAGAUACCCGUGUAGUCCCUGUCUCUUAUAC